UAGCAAUACCGCGAAAAGUCUAGUGGCGAACGGGUGCGUAACACGUGGGCAAUCUGCCUUAAAGUGGGGGAUAGCUCGGCGAAAGCCGAAUUAAUACCGCAUGUGAUUAGAGGGGACAUCCCUUCCAAAUCAAAGCCGGGGCAACCUGGCGCUUUUUGUGGAGCCCGCGGCCUAUCAGCUUGUUGGUGAGGUAACGGCUCACCAAGGCUUUGACGGGUAGCUGGUCUGAGAGGACGACCAGUCACACUGGAACUGAGACACGGUCCAGACACCUACGGGUGGCAGCAGUCGAGAAUUUUUGACAAUGGGGGAAACCCUGAUCGAGCGACGCCGCGUGGAGGAUGAAGGUCUUCGGGUUGUAAACUCCUGUCAUUUGGGAACAAGCGGCUCACCGUAACUGCGUGAGUCUUGAUAGUAGCAGAAGAGGAAGAGACGGCUAACUCUGUGCCAGCAGCCGCGGUAAUACAGAGGUCUCAAGCGUUGUUCGGAUUCAUUGGGCGUAAAGGGUGCGUAGGCGGCGCGGUAAGUCGGGUGUGAAAUUUCGGAGCUUAACUCCGAAACUGCAUUCGAUACUGCCGUGCUCGAGGACUGGAGAGGAGACUGGAAUUCACGGUGUAGCA
RNAcentral lists this ribosomal RNA (620 nucleotides) under uncultured Verrucomicrobiota bacterium. RNAcentral's name for it is "bacterial SSU rRNA". It matches the Rfam family "Bacterial small subunit ribosomal RNA", at positions 77 to 680 of the family's 1533-position model. Lineage: Bacteria; Pseudomonadati; Verrucomicrobiota. The record is from RNAcentral.